UGAUGUCUUUCACAAUCUGGUACAGUAUGUCCAUUACAGUGUCAAAAAUAUGUGUCUCCUAGCUGCCCCCUGGUGGUCACGAGAGAGAGUUAGUUACAGCUGUUGCUAUGAGGUCCCCAGCAUCCAUACUGGCUCUAUUUUAACUCGCCAAGUAGCUGGAACAGCAAGGCCAACGGUCUGUAGCUUUUAGAAACAAUUAAAUGUGUCCUGUGUGUGUUUUAAGAGGAGCCCACAUAUGAAAUAAAAUGUGUCCUGUGUGUGUUUUAAGAGGAGCCCAUAUAUGAAAUAUGUAUAAAGUGAUUUAAACAUUUAGCCUUUGAUUCUGGGCAGUAGCGCACUAGCUACUACUGCCAUGCCAGAGUUGCUUUUAAGGGUCCCGUCAAACGUGCACCUCCUCUCGGAGAUGUGGACGUGCAAACGAAGCUUCGGACGUCACCAGUGACGUGAUUUCGCAAAAACAAUACAAGCCUCGAUAUGGAGCUCCGCCUGGAAGAGCUUCCCGUUCUUGACACAAGCUUCGAAGGCUCCGUGUUAAGGGUAACAUGACUAGAAGCAAGCUGGACGCUCAAGCUAUAACGAAUCGUUGGAAUCUAGAGGCAAAUUGUCGACAUGGCAACAUCUUCAAAGUCACAGAAGGCGAUGGCAGACUCAGAGUGGACGGCCAUUGACAGGAAGGUGGUGGUAUCCACUAACAUAGCUGAGACAUCCCUGACCAUUGAUGGUGUGGAGUUUGUUAUUGACCCCAGAUUUGCCAAGCAAAAGGGUGGAGUCGUUGCUGGUGACGGUCAUAGGUAAAGCAUCAGCCCAGCAGAGGACAGGGAGAGCCGGAAGCACACGGCCAGGGGCUUCAGACACAGAAAAGGCCUACAAGACAGAGAUGCAGUUGGAAAUCCCUUGUGGUGGGAGGAGCUGCGUGUCAUCGGAGUGCUACUGGGGAGCGUUCCUUGUGGACGGGCCUGGGCAGAACCGUCUCCACGCUUCAACGUGACAACGCAAGUGCCUGCCACACGGAAGCGACACCUUGCGUACGUGUUUGAGUUCGGUGUUUUAUUAUAACUGCCUCAGUCAUGGAUUUUAGUACUGGUCGGUGGGUCCGGUGUUGUGGACUCUUCUGUGGAGUCUAUCUGUGGGGCGGCGUUUUCGUAUUGCAUACUGAUAAUACCUUUUGGGGGAAGGUGUGUAUCUUGCUCUCAUGUUAGACAUGGUUCGCCAUUAGUGGGGUUUAUGCCUAUCGCCUAGUGGGGUUCUUUAUACAGUUGCUGUGUGCCUACAGUCCUGUCUCCUUGUGAUAAAUAAACAUUUGUAUAACCA
Long non-coding RNA from Clupea harengus (Atlantic herring), 1311 nucleotides. RefSeq lists it as uncharacterized. The record is from RefSeq and is a predicted model, not a curated record. NCBI's taxonomy places the organism in Eukaryota, Metazoa, Chordata, Actinopteri, Clupeiformes, Clupeidae.